Molecule: non-coding RNA, 30 nt
Filed under: Mus musculus (house mouse)
Lineage: Eukaryota; Metazoa; Chordata; Mammalia; Rodentia; Muridae
Source: RNAcentral
UAUCAGCGUAACCACAGGAUUUUAGCAAAG